This 1167-nucleotide long non-coding RNA is filed under the name Homo sapiens (human). RNAcentral describes it as "PREDICTED lncRNA (TCONS_00265600)". The record is from RNAcentral. Lineage: Eukaryota; Metazoa; Chordata; Mammalia; Primates; Hominidae.
UCACCAGGUAGGCAGAAUAGUCUUAUAUAGCCAUUUGUUGUCCAGGGCAAUUUUGCCUAUUAAGUCUGUUUCCUCCCAGUUAACCUUCCUUCCAUGAGCCUCUGAAGCUUGAUGUCUGAACUCAGGGAUGGUUUGGAAACCCCUACUUAGGCAGUCUUGGGUCUUCUCAAAUACUGCAGUCUAAUACCAUGUCCUGCCUGCUCUAAAACUGACUCCUGCUCCUUCCGUCUGUUUUUCCCAGUUUACAGAUCUGGCUUGUGUAUUCACUCUCUACAUGUCUAUGUAAGUAACCACAUUCGCAUUGGCUGAGAAGUCAUCACUUGCAAAAUAGUCUUUAUUGAGUUCAAGAGCCAACAUGCUCUCUGGUCCUUCUAAUCCAGCUGUUCUCAACCUUGGCUGCACAUGGAAUCACUGAGGGAGGCCUUGGUCUGCAGUAAAGCCUACACACCUCCCCAGGACUAAGUACGGAUUUCUGAGUAUAACCAUGGAAGAAGACCCUCGAAAGGGAACUGCUGAGUUAAAGGAAAUGUGCCAUUUAUACUUUGGCUAAAUGUUCCCACACUUUCAUUCCUGAAGUUGUGCCAAUUUAUGUUGGUAGAAACAAUGUAUUAGAGCACUUUCCCCAUCAUCAUAAAUACAGUGACUUGGAAGCUAAGGCCCAGAGAGGAGGAGAAACUUGAUCAAAGUCAAUCAGACAAUGCAGAAUCGAGAAAAGUACCUGGACCUCUAUGCCCAUGCUUCUAGCAGCCAGCCUCCUAAAAUACCUCUAGUUGAAGCCAAAGUUAGAAUCCUUCUACGAAACUACAGGAUUAAAAUGGAAUGGUUACAUGACCCAGGCUUGACCAAUCAGAUCAUCCAAACCCUUUGCCACAGUGAUUGGUCCAGGGAUACAUGCAUGAGCCAGCUCAGGCCUAAGCCACACUCAUCUUGUGGAUGACACUGGAGCUGUGACAGUCUGUUCUGUCCAGGCAGGGUGUCUUUUAUUUUUAUUGGAAAUAAGAUUAUCACAGAAUUGCUGGCUGUUGAUACUCUUUCUCAUCAACUCCCCAAAUGGAAAUGCUUUCAACCACUGCAGAAGUAAAAAAUUACCCAAAGGCUGUAUGAUGCAAACUCUUUCUUUGGCUUUAUCUUACUGAUAAGAAUAAAAAUAACACCUCACGUAUGUAU